This is a small nuclear RNA of Hyaena hyaena (striped hyena), 105 nucleotides long. NCBI's taxonomy places the organism in Eukaryota, Metazoa, Chordata, Mammalia, Carnivora, Hyaenidae. The record is from RefSeq and is a predicted model, not a curated record.
GUGCCCACUUUGGCAACACAUUUACCUAAUGGAACGAUACAGAAAAGAUUAGCAUGGUACCUUUGCAAAGAAGACACAUAAACUCAUGAAGUGUUCUGUAUUGUU